UACGAAGGGGGCUAGCGUUGCUCGGAAUCACUGGGCGUAAAGGGUGCGUAGGCGGGUCUUUUUAAGUCAGGGGUGAAAUCCUGGAGCUCAACUCCAGAACUGCCUUCGAUACUGGCGAUCUUGAGUCCGGAAGAGGUGAGUGGAACUCCUAGUGUAGAGGUGGAAUUCGUAGAUAUUAGGAAGAACACCAGUGGCGAAGGCGGCUCACUGGUCCGGUACUGACGCAUGAGGUGGCGAAAGCGUGGGGAGCAAACAGG
This 257-nucleotide ribosomal RNA is filed under the name uncultured bacterium. RNAcentral's name for it is "partial 16S ribosomal RNA". It matches the Rfam family "Bacterial small subunit ribosomal RNA", at positions 524 to 776 of the family's 1533-position model. The record is from RNAcentral.